GGGGUAGAAGCUCAGUGGUUGAGCAAUCGAUUGCAGCUAUAUCGAUAGGCCGUGUGUUCGAUCCACACCUGCCCCU
Molecule: transfer RNA, 76 nt
Filed under: Rhizoctonia solani
Lineage: Eukaryota; Fungi; Basidiomycota; Agaricomycetes; Cantharellales; Ceratobasidiaceae
Description: tRNA-Cys
Rfam family: tRNA
About the family: Transfer RNA (tRNA) molecules are approximately 80 nucleotides in length.
Source: RNAcentral